RNAcentral lists this ribosomal RNA (189 nucleotides) under Acanthamoeba sp. RNAcentral describes it as "partial small subunit ribosomal RNA". It matches the Rfam family "Eukaryotic small subunit ribosomal RNA", at positions 794 to 957 of the family's 1831-position model. Lineage: Eukaryota; Discosea; Longamoebia; Acanthamoebidae. The record is from RNAcentral.
UUUUUCCUGCCCCGAAUACAUUAGCAUGGGAUAAUGGAAUAGGACCCUGACCUCCUAUUUUCAGUUGGUUUUGUUUACAGCGAGGUUAUAUCAGGGUAAUGAUUAAUAGGGAUAGUUGGGGGCAUUAAUAUUUAAUUGUCAGAGGUGAAAUUCUUGGCCUCUGAAAGAUAACUUCUGCGAAAGAGUUUG